This 487-nucleotide ribosomal RNA is filed under the name uncultured bacterium. RNAcentral's name for it is "partial 16S ribosomal RNA". It matches the Rfam family "Bacterial small subunit ribosomal RNA", at positions 899 to 1397 of the family's 1533-position model. The record is from RNAcentral.
ACUCAAAUGAAUUGACGGGGGCCCGCACAAGCAGCGGAGCGUGUGGUUUAAUUCGAUGCAACGCGAAGAACCUUACCUGCGCUUGACAUGUGAUUGCACCACGGGUAACGCCGUGUCUCCUUCGGGAGCGGUCACACAGGUGCUGCAUGGCUGUCGUCAGCUCGUGCCGUGAGGUGUUGGGUUAAGUCCCCUAACGAGCGCAACCCCUGAGGUCCGUUACCUUGGUGUCGGGCCUGACUGCCGCGCGCAACGCGGAGGAAGGUGGGGAUGACGUCAAGUCAGCACGGCCCUGACGCGCAGGGCGACACACACGCUACAAUGGCCGGUACAACGGGUUGCCAAGCCGCGAGGCGGAGCCAAUCCCAGCAAAGCCGGUCUCAGUUCGGAUUGCAGGCUGCAACUCGCCUGCAUGAAGUCGGAGUUGCUAGUAACCGCGGGUCAGCACACCGCGGUGAAUACGUUCCCGGGCCUUGUACACACCGCCCGU